RNAcentral lists this small RNA (98 nucleotides) under Escherichia coli. RNAcentral describes it as "partial RtT sRNA". It matches the Rfam family "RtT RNA", at positions 1 to 96 of the family's 130-position model. Rfam says of the family: This family represents a bacterial cis-regulatory element known as RtT RNA. The exact function of RtT is unknown although it is thought that it may be involved in changing the cellular response in relation to amino acid starvation. Lineage: Bacteria; Pseudomonadati; Pseudomonadota; Gammaproteobacteria; Enterobacterales; Enterobacteriaceae. The record is from RNAcentral.
AUUCUGCCCAUGCGGGGAAGGAUGAGAAGCUUCGACCAAGGUUCGACUCGAGCGCCAGCGAGAGAGCGUGGCCGCAGGCAACGACCCGAAGGGCGAAG